Molecule: transfer RNA, 73 nt
Filed under: Capra hircus (goat)
Lineage: Eukaryota; Metazoa; Chordata; Mammalia; Artiodactyla; Bovidae
Also listed under: 1 other name
Rfam family: tRNA
About the family: Transfer RNA (tRNA) molecules are approximately 80 nucleotides in length. Their secondary structure includes four short double-helical elements and three loops (D, anti-codon, and T loops).
Source: Rfam by way of RNAcentral
UCCCUGGCAGUCCAGUGAUUAAGACUCUGCACUUCCACUUCAGAGGGCACAGGUUCGAUUCCUGGCUGGGUAA